RNAcentral lists this ribosomal RNA (406 nucleotides) under uncultured bacterium. RNAcentral's name for it is "partial 16S ribosomal RNA". It matches the Rfam family "Bacterial small subunit ribosomal RNA", at positions 30 to 526 of the family's 1533-position model. The record is from RNAcentral.
AUUGAACGCUGGCGGCAGGCUUAACACAUGCAAGUCGAACGAGUGGCGGACGGGUGAGUAAUGCUUGGGAAUCUGGCUUAUGGAGGGGGAUAACGACGGGAAACUGUCGCUAAUACCGCGUACCAUAGGAUGAGCCCAAGUGGGAUUAGGUAGUUGGUGGGGUAAUGGCCUACCAAGCCGACGAUCUCUAGCUGGUCUGAGAGGAUGACCAGCCACACCGGGACUGAGACACGGCCCGGACUCCUACGGGAGGCAGCAGUGGGGAAUCUUCCGCAAUGGACGAAAGUCUGACGGAGCAACGCCGCGUGAGUGAUGACGGCCUUCGGGUUGUAAAGCUCUGUUAAUCGGGAGACGGUACCGGAAUAGAAAGCCACGGCUAACUACGUGCCAGCAGCCGCGGUAAUAC